UGCGGAAGGAUCAUUACAGUAUUCUUUUGCCAGCGCUUAACUGCGCGGCGAAAAACCUUACACACAGUGUCUUUUUGAUACAGAACUCUUGCUUUGGUUUGGCCUAGAGAUAGGUUGGGCCAGAGGUUUAACAAAACACAAUUUAAUUAUUUUUACAGUUAGUCAAAUUUUGAAUUAAUCUUCAAAACUUUCAACAACGGAUCUCUUGGUUCUCGCAUCGAUGAAGAACGCAGCGAAAUGCGAUAAGUAAUAUGAAUUGCAGAUUUUCGUGAAUCAUCGAAUCUUUGAACGCACAUUGCGCCCUCUGGUAUUCCAGAGGGCAUGCCUGUUUGAGCGUCAUUUCUCUCUCAAACCCCCGGGUUUGGUAUUGAGUGAUACUCUUAGUCGGACUAGGCGUUUGCUUGAAAAGUAUUGGCAUGGGUAGUACUGGAUAGUGCUGUCGACCUCUCAAUGUAUUAGGUUUAUCCAACUCGUUGAAUGGUGUGGCGGGAUAUUUCUGGUAUUGUUGGCCCGGCCUUACAACAACCAAACAAGUUUGACCUCAAAUCAGGUAGGAAUACCCGCUGAACUUAAGCAUAUCAUAAACCCGAGAGGAAGGAACAUUACGUAUUCUUUUGCCAGCGCUUAACUGCGCGGCGAA
This 640-nucleotide ribosomal RNA is filed under the name Meyerozyma sp. AL-V. Its description in RNAcentral is "eukaryotic LSU rRNA". The stretch from base 186 to 339 matches the Rfam family "5.8S ribosomal RNA". The record is from RNAcentral. Lineage: Eukaryota; Fungi; Ascomycota; Pichiomycetes; Serinales; Debaryomycetaceae.